UAGGGAAUCUUCCGCAAUGGGCGAAAGCCUGACGGAGCAACGCCGCGUGAGUGAUGAAGGUCUUCGGAUCGUAAAACUCUGUUAUUAGGGAAGAACAAAUGUGUAAGUAACUAUGCACGUCUUGACGGUACCUAAUCAGAAAGCCACGGCUAACUACGUGCCAGCAGCCGCGGUAAUACGUAGGUGGCAAGCGUUAUCCGGAAUUAUUGGGCGUAAAGCGCGCGUAGGCGGUUUUUUAAGUCUGAUGUGAAAGCCCACGGCUCAACCGUGGAGGGUCAUUGGAAGCUGGAAAACUUGAGUGCAGAAGAGGAAAGUGGAAUUCCAUGUGUAGCGGUGAAAUGCGCAGAGAUAUGGAGGAACACCAGUGGCGAAGGCGACUUUCUGGUCUGUAACUGACGCUGAUGUGCGAAAGCGGGGGGAUCAAACAGG
Molecule: ribosomal RNA, 429 nt
Filed under: Actinomycetes bacterium
Lineage: Bacteria; Bacillati; Actinomycetota; Actinomycetes
Description: Actinobacteria bacterium partial 16S ribosomal RNA
Rfam family: Bacterial small subunit ribosomal RNA
Source: RNAcentral